Molecule: ribosomal RNA, 921 nt
Filed under: uncultured Bacillota bacterium
Lineage: Bacteria; Bacillati; Bacillota
Description: bacterial SSU rRNA
Rfam family: Bacterial small subunit ribosomal RNA
Source: RNAcentral
UCAGGGACGAAAAAAUACGGUACCUGAAAAGAAAGCUCCGGCUAACUACGUGCCAGCAGCCGCGGUAAUACGUAGGAGCGAGCGUUGUCCGGAUUACUGGGUGUAAAGGGUGCGUAGGCGGGUUUGCAAGUCAGACUGAAAUACCGAGGCUUAACCUCGGGGCUGCGUUUGAAACUGUAGAUCUUGAGUGAAGUAGGGCAAGCGGAAUUCCUAGUGUAGCGGUGAAAUGCGUAGAUAUUAGGAGGAACACCAGUGGGAAGGCGGCUUGCUGGGCUUUAACUGACGCUGAGGCACGAAAGCAUGGGGAGCAAACAGGUUAGAUACCCUGGUAGUCCAUGCCGUAAACGAUGAUAGCUAGGUGUGGGGGGACUGACCCUUCCGUGCCGGAGUAAACACAAUAAGCUAUCCACCUGGGGAGUACGACCGCAAGGUUGAACUCAAAGGAAUUGACGGGGGCCCGCACAAGCAGUGGAGUAUGUGGUUUAAUUCGAAGCAAGCGAAGAACCUUACCAGGUCUUGACAUCCGACUAACGAAGCAGAGAUGCAUCAGGUGCCCUCGGGGAAAGUCGAGACAGGUGGUGCAUGGUUGUCGUCAGCUCGUGUCGUGAGAUGUUGGUUAAGUCCCGCAACGAGCGCAACCCUUGUCCUUAGUUGCUACGCAAGAGCACUCUAAGGAACUGCCGUUGACAAAACGGAGGAAGGUGGGGACGACGUCAAAUCAUCAUGCCCCUUAUGACUGGGCUACACACGUACUACAAUGGUCGUCAACAGAGGGAAGCAAGGGAGCGAUCCGGAGAAACCCCUAAAAACGAUCCCAGUUCAGAUUGCAGGCUGCAACUCGCCUGUAUGAAGACGGAUUGCUAGUAAUCGCGGAUCAGCAUGCCGCGGUGAAUACGUUCCCGGGCCUUGCACACACGCCCU